RNAcentral lists this ribosomal RNA (497 nucleotides) under uncultured bacterium. Its description in RNAcentral is "partial 16S ribosomal RNA". It matches the Rfam family "Bacterial small subunit ribosomal RNA", at positions 28 to 507 of the family's 1533-position model. The record is from RNAcentral.
GAUGAACGCUGGCGGCGUGCCUAAUACAUGCAAGUCGAGCGAACAGACGAGGAGCUUGCUCCUCUGACGUUAGCGGCGGACGGGUGAGUAACACGUGGAUAACCUACCUAUAAGACUGGGAUAACUUCGGGAAACCGGAGCUAAUACCGGAUAACAUGUUGAACCGCAUGGUUCAACAGUGAAAGACGGUUUUGCUGUCACUUAUAGAUGGAUCCGCGUCGCAUUAGCUAGUUGGUAAGGUAACGGCUUACCAAGGCAACGAUGCGUAGCCGACCUGAGAGGGUGAUCGGCCACACUGGAACUGAGACACGGUCCAGACUCCUACGGGAGGCAGCAGUAGGGAAUCUUCCGCAAUGGGCGAAAGCCUGACGGAGCAACGCCGCGUGAGUGAAGAAGGUCUUCGGAGCGUAAAACUCUGUUAUUAGGGAAGAACAAAUGUGUAAGUAACUAUGCACGUCUUGACGGUACCUAAUCAGAAAGCCACGGCUAACUACGUG